Molecule: ribosomal RNA, 510 nt
Filed under: uncultured bacterium
Lineage: Bacteria
Description: partial 16S ribosomal RNA
Rfam family: Bacterial small subunit ribosomal RNA
Source: RNAcentral
GACGAACGCUGGCGGCGUGCUUAACACAUGCAAGUCGAACGAAGAGCGACGGAAGCUUGCUUCUAUCAAUCUUAGUGGCGGACGGGUGAGUAACGCGUAAUCAACCUGCCCUUCAGAGGGGGACAACAGUUGGAAACGACUGCUAAUACCGCAUACGAUCUAAUCUCGGCAUCGAGGAUGGAUGAAAGGUGGCCUCUACAUGUAAGCUAUCACUGAAGGAGGGGAUUGCGUCUGAUUAGCUAGUUGGAGGGGUAACGGCCCACCAAGGCGAUGAUCAGUAGCCGGUCUGAGAGGAUGAACGGCCACAUUGGGACUGAGACACGGCCCAGACUCCUACGGGAGGCAGCAGUGGGGAAUCUUCCGCAAUGGACGAAAGUCUGACGGAGCAACGCCGCGUGAGUGAUGACGGCCUUCGGGUUGUAAAGCUCUGUUAAUCGGGACGAAAGGCCUUCUUGCGAAUAGGGAGAAGGAUUGACGGUACCGGAAUAGAAAGCCACGGCUAACUACGUG